Molecule: long non-coding RNA, 2217 nt
Organism: Dromaius novaehollandiae (emu)
Lineage: Eukaryota; Metazoa; Chordata; Aves; Casuariiformes; Dromaiidae
Exons: 6
Source: RefSeq, a predicted model, not a curated record
GCGGCGCGAGCCCUGGGCGGCCGGCGCACGCGCGGUGCGGCGGCGCGAGCCCUGGGCGGCCGGCGCACGCGCGGUGCGGCGGCGCGAGCCCUGGGCGGCCGGCGCACGCGCGGUGCGGCGGCGGGCAAGAUGGCGGCGAGCAGGGCGGGUGUUUUGGCUGGACGGCGGCGGGCGAGGGCAGAGGCGGGCUGGAGUCGAGCAUGUGGGGGCCGCGGUGAGGCGAGGGUAGCCCACCGAAGGGGGACAUCUCGAAGAGAAGCAGCAAGACCUGGGGAUCCGGUGGUUCAUUUUGGUCGUCGCCUGUGAGGCCAGCAUGCAAGAGUAAGAGGAAGCUAGGAGCAGUCUCAAAAAGAGAUGGAACCGAGGACAGCAAAUGCUGACGAGGAGAAGAGACGGACGAGCGUUUGCUUGCGGUUAAUACCGAAGGGACGGGAUGAAACAAGGAAGCCAGAAUGCAGCGGCCCCUCGAUAUCACCAGGAACUGCUACAGGAGGAGGCGUUCUGGCACAGGUAACUAGGAUUAAUUGCCACGGCUGAAGUUGAAGAGACCAAGAAACGUAAGCCCCGAAGGGGCACAUCUUGAAGAGAGGGGGCUAGACCUAGCGAUCCAGUUGUUCGUUUUGGUCGUCGCCUGUGAGGCCAGCAUGCAAGAGUAAGAGGAAGCUAGGAGCAGUCUCAAAAAGGUAAUAGGUUUGAAAGGGAGACAGGCAAAUCGAGGGCUGUCAUUCCUCCACGUAGUUAAAGACCGAGAGAGUUGUCGGUUAAGCGCAUGCAUACGAGGGUUUGCGAACAGUACCAAUAACACUGAAGCGGAAUAAAAAUAAGGUUUCGUGGAAGAUGGCGUUAGGAAGGUAUUAGGCGACGUGCCCGCCUGCCUAAUAACCUAGCCCUAAUUGCUGUGUGUAACGUUUCCAGACCGUUUACCCUGCAACGUAUGGUGCAAAGUGCCGUAUUAAGACCUUUCCCUUAAGGAAAAGAAGAAGGAAAAAAGGGGGAAAAAGAAAACAGGGUAAAGAGAAAAAGAUCAUGCAUAAACCUAAGCGUUUCACUGGAAGUAAAACGCGAGUUUAUCGCUUCCUUACAGAGAUGGAACCAAGGACAGCAAAUGCUGACGAGGAGAAGAGACGGACGAGCGUUUGCUUGCGGUUAAUACCGAAGGGACGGGAUGAAACAAGGAAGCCAGAAUGCAGCGGCCCCUCGAUAUCACCAGGAACUGCUACAGGAGGAGGCGUUCUGGCACGGGUAACUAGGAUUAAUUGCCACGGCUGAAGUUGAAGAGACCAAGAAACGUAAGCCCCGAAGGGGCACAUCUUGAAGAGAGGGGGCUAGACCUAGCGAUCCAGUUGUUCGUUUUGGUCGUCGCCUGUGAGGCCAGCAUGCAAGAGUAAGAGGAAGCUAGGAGCAGUCUCAAAAAGGUAAUAGGUUUGAAAGGGAGACAGGCAAAUCGAGGGCUGUCAUUCCUCCACGUAGUUAAAGACCGAGAGAGUUGUCGGUUAAGCGCAUGCAUACGAGGGUUUGCGAACAGUACCAAUAACACUGAAGCGGAAUAAAAAUAAGGUUUCGUGGAAGAUGGCGUUAGGAAGGUAUUAGGCGACGUGCCCGCCUGCCUAAUAACCUAGCCCUAAUUGCUGUGUGUAACGUUUCCAGACCGUUUACCCUGCAACGUAUGGUGCAAAGUGCCGUAUUAAGACCUUUCCCUUAAGGAAAAGAAGAAGGAAAAAAGAAAAAAAAGGGGGAAAAAGAAAACAGGGUAAAGAGAAAAAGAUCAUGCAUAAACCUAAGCGUUUCACUGGAAGUAAAACGCGAGUUUAUCGCUUCCUUACAGAGAUGGAACCAAGGACAGCAAAUGCUGACGAGGAGAAGAGACGGACGAGCGUUUGCUUGCGGUUAAUACCGAAGGGACGGGAUGAAACAAGGAAGCCAGAAUGCAGCGGCCCCUCGAUAUCACCAGGAACUGCUACAGGAGGAGGCGUUCUGGCACGGGUAACUAGGAUUAAUUGCCACGGCUGAAGUUGAAGAGACCAAGAAACGUAAGCCCCGAAGGGGCACAUCUUGAAGAGAGGGGGCUAGACCUAGCGAUCCAGUUGUUCGUUUUGGUCGUCGCCUGUGAGGCCAGCAUGCAAGAGUAAGAGGAAGCUAGGAGCAGUCUCAAAAAGGUAAUAGGUUUGAAAGGGAGACAGGCAAAUCGAGGGCUGUCAUUCCUCCACGUAGUUAAAG